CUAGCCUUAUCUUAUCGUCAUAUCAUUACACGCGCACAUUCACGUGUGAACCCAGUGGACGGUGUGUAGGUAGAACAUUACUACACCGGAAACGAACAUUUCCGGUACGUUUAUAUGGAACAAACCGCUUGAUUUUCAAGAAGACGACGAGCGCACCGGUAUACGUAGAACGUGUAAUUUUUCACACCGAUAUAUCAACGAUACGCUAGCGUACGAUGUGGACCGAAAACCAUGAGAUAGAUAGAUCAUUUAUCGAUGACGCGGUCUUUUCGGACUCCGGGUUCAUCGCUGCAUUGGUUGGUUGACCGUGCCGUACUCUCGAUCAAGGGGAUGAUGGAAAGGGUCCGCGAAAGGCACUUAUACGUGUUACGUCUAUAAGU
RNAcentral lists this unclassified non-coding RNA (380 nucleotides) under Athalia rosae (coleseed sawfly). Its description in RNAcentral is "misc RNA ENSAEAG00005003253.1". The record is from RNAcentral. Lineage: Eukaryota; Metazoa; Arthropoda; Insecta; Hymenoptera; Athaliidae.